UUGUAAAAGUAUACCAUUAUUGGUAAAAGUACGGUCUUAAACCUGAAACCUGACUCUAAACCGAACAGCAAGCCACAAAGGGCCCCCAAAUGACUAGAUGCGUGUCAAUAGUGCUUAACACUACGCUGGUGAUACAUAGUUCAAUUGUGCGAUGCGACCUUUAUUGUGUGGUACGAGUAAAAGCACUGUUAUGAGUGUUCUUGUAUUAAUUCUACUGUAUUCAGGUCACGUACUGUUGUCAUUUACGCG
RNAcentral lists this long non-coding RNA (249 nucleotides) under Mytilus galloprovincialis (Mediterranean mussel). Lineage: Eukaryota; Metazoa; Mollusca; Bivalvia; Mytilida; Mytilidae. The record is from RNAcentral.